This 474-nucleotide ribosomal RNA is filed under the name Ostorhinchus cookii (Cook's cardinalfish). Its description in RNAcentral is "partial 12S rRNA". It matches the Rfam family "Bacterial small subunit ribosomal RNA", at positions 317 to 991 of the family's 1533-position model. Lineage: Eukaryota; Metazoa; Chordata; Actinopteri; Kurtiformes; Apogonidae. The record is from RNAcentral.
CCCACAACGCCUUGCUUGGCCACACCCCCAAGGGAUUCAGCAGUGAAAAAUAUUAAGCCAUAAGCGAAAGCUUGACUUAGUUAAAGCUUACUAGGGCCGGUAAAACUCGUGCCAGCCACCGCGGUUAUACGAGAGGCCCAAGCUGACAGUUCCCGGCGUAAAGAGUGGUUAAUUAUCUUUCAUACUAAAGCCGAACGUCUCCAAGGUUGUAUAACACAUUCGAAGACAUGAAGACCUAUCACGAAAGUGGCUUUACACUCUUUGAACCCACGAAAGCUAGGGAACAAACUGGGAUUAGAUACCCCACUAUGCCUAGUCUUAAACUUAGAUAGAACUCUACUUACACCUAUCCGCCAGGGUACUACGAGCAUUAGCUUAAAACCCAAAGGACUUGGCGGCGCUUCAUACCCACCUAGAGGAGCCUGUUCUAGAACCGAUACUACCCGUUUAACCUCACCUUCUCUUGUUCCUACC